RNAcentral lists this long non-coding RNA (682 nucleotides) under Fukomys damarensis (Damara mole-rat). Its description in RNAcentral is "lncRNA (ENSFDAG00000027928.1)". Lineage: Eukaryota; Metazoa; Chordata; Mammalia; Rodentia; Bathyergidae. The record is from RNAcentral.
CUGACAAUAACCCUUUGUUCCUCCCUUCUGACUCACUGAAGAGCGUGAUCCACUCGUGUCAGCAGCUGUGACUCACAGUCUCAUGAUUCCCACAAAGCUGCUAGCGUUUCAGGAAUGGGCGGACCUGUGUGGCUUUCAAGUUCUCCAGGUGAUUAAAGCCUCUGCACUGAAACGUGAACACAGACGCAUUUUCAGCAUCCAAUUUGCACCCGUACUGACUUUAAUUCUUCUGAACAAUUCAUUGUAACUUUAAUUCAUCCAAAAGAUUUUGGACAAGGUGCUCUUCCAUCCACAUGCAGGAUACUUUCCUGAGCAAAGACCAAACAUCUUCAUCUUCCACAGCCUUCUUCCACCAACCUUUUCCAAUAUCCAGGCCUGAAAAAGAUGUCAUUGCUUGGUAUGUGUUUACCUCCUGUGGCUGUGUCUCCUCACCCCUCUCCUCCUUCUCCACUUCUUUGCCUUCCCAUAAUGUUUAAGCUCCAGCUUAUAUAAUAUCACUUCUUGAAAUGUUCCCUAAGCUCCAAAUUACCCACUCUUUAAAUUCUUACAAACUCUGUGUGCACCCUGACUAGUUCUUCUCAUUCACUAUCUAGCAGUGUAGUAAUUUGUAUCUGUCUUACACUCUCUAUUGGCUUCUCCAACUCAUAGGUGAAUGUAGUGCUCAUGUAGGCAUCUCCACAGG